GAUGAACUCUGGCGGCGUGCCUAAUACAUGCAAGUCGAGCGAACGGACGAGAAGCUUGCUUCUCUGAUGUUAGCGGCGGACGGGUGAGUAACACGUGGAUAACCUACCUAUAAGACUGGGAUAACUUCGGGAAACCGGAGCUAAUACCGGAUGAUAUUUUGAACCGCAUGGUUCAAAAGUGAAAGACGGUCUUGCUGUCACUUAUAGAUGGAUCCGCGCUGCAUUAGCUAGUUGGUAAGGUAACGGCUUACCAAGGCAACGAUGCAUAGCCGACCUGAGAGGGUGAUCGGCCACACUGGAACUGAGACACGGUCCAGACUCCUACGGGAGGCAGCAGUAGGGAAUCCUCCGCAAUGGGCGAAAGCCUGACGGAGCAACGCCGCGUGAGUGAUGAAGGUCUUCGGAUCGUAAAACUCUGUUAUUAGGGAAGAACAUAUGUGUAAGUAACUGUGCACAUCUUGACGGUACCUAAUCAGAAAGCCACGGCUAACUACGUG
RNAcentral lists this ribosomal RNA (497 nucleotides) under uncultured bacterium. RNAcentral's name for it is "partial 16S ribosomal RNA". It matches the Rfam family "Bacterial small subunit ribosomal RNA", at positions 28 to 507 of the family's 1533-position model. The record is from RNAcentral.